UGAGAUACCAAUAAUUUCUCAUGGUUGAUAAUUUGAUUUUAGUGAAGCUUCUCAUUGUUUUCUGAAGCUUUAAACUUUGAGAUGUAAAAACAUGACUUUUGACUGUGUACUUUUAAAGAUACAUAUUUAUUUUUAAUAGGUCAGUCUCAUCAUUAAUCACUAAAAGAGCUAUUUAAAUGACUAAAAACCACAGCACUUGUCAGCCAUUACUUGUUUUUCAGCAAGCAUUUACACAGUAUUAGCUGAAAUAUUUGUAGGGAUUCACCAAGUACCUUGGGAUGUUGCAGUUAGCAUUUUUUUCUUACAGGUAUAAAAAGUGGAUUGUUGUUUUGAUGGUGGUGGGUUUUGUUUUUUUUUUUUUAAUCAAAGCUCUAGUGUAUUAUUAGCAAACACUUAAAAAAUAUGUAAAUACCAGUACUGUGGAAAAUAAUUAGAUGACACAUAAACUGGAUUUAAAAUCCAUCUCAUCUGCCUAGAUUUUAUGUAAGUGAUAUAAUGAAGGUGCCUUAAAAUAUUUGAUACUUUCAAAUGUUUCUCAUGUUAUUUUCUUAUUUUCUAAAAAAGAUGUAUUCACUAAAUUAUAUACACUCAUAUAAUAAUUAAAUAUAAAAUACAUUCUUUUAUUGUGUACCUUUCUAUCUAGAAGGUAGCACAUUAUUACAGUGUUUCCUGCUGGUCAAAGUUGCCUAUUAGAGAAAUAGAAUGGUAAUUUUAAUAUAUUCACAAAAUACCUUAUUGAUAUCAUCAAACCAAUUUAUACAUUGAGUUUGUACCAACUAGUGGAAUUGUCUUAGGUCUAUUAAGUUAUGGAAUAUUAUAUCCAUAAUUACAGUCUGAGUCAUAGCUGAAAAAAUCUGCUUUAAAAUUAUUCUCACUCUUUGAACAUUUCAUAAUCUUACAUGUUUUCAAGCAAUUUGCCAUACUCUACUAACCUUUGU
This 938-nucleotide long non-coding RNA is filed under the name Homo sapiens (human). RNAcentral describes it as "HSALNT0150605". Lineage: Eukaryota; Metazoa; Chordata; Mammalia; Primates; Hominidae. The record is from RNAcentral.